RNAcentral lists this ribosomal RNA (497 nucleotides) under uncultured bacterium. RNAcentral's name for it is "partial 16S ribosomal RNA". It matches the Rfam family "Bacterial small subunit ribosomal RNA", at positions 28 to 507 of the family's 1533-position model. The record is from RNAcentral.
GAUGAACGCUGGCGGCGUGCCUAAUACAUGCAAGUCGAGCGAACAGACGAGGAGCUUGCUCCUCUGACGUUAGCGGCGGACGGGUGAGUAACACGUGGAUAACCUACCUAUAAGACUGGGAUAACUUCGGGAAACCGGAGCUAAUACCGGAUAACAUGUUGAACCGCAUGGUUCAACAGUGAAAGACGGUCUUGCUGUCACUUAUAGAUGGAUCCGCGCUGCAUUAGCUAGUUGGUAAGGUAACGGCUUACCAAGGCAACGAUGCGUAGCCGACCUGAGAGGGUGAUCGGCCACACUGGAACUGAGACACGGUCCAGACUCCUACGGGAGGCAGCAGUAGGGAAUCUUCCGCAAUGGGCGAAAGCCUGACGGAGCAACGCCGCGUGAGUGAAGAAGGUCUUCGGAUCGUAAAACUCUGUUAUUAGGGAAGAACAAAUGUGUAAGUAACUAUGCACGUCCUGACGGUACCUAAUCAGAAAGCCACGGCUAACUACGUG